RNAcentral lists this ribosomal RNA (450 nucleotides) under uncultured bacterium. RNAcentral describes it as "SSU rRNA". It matches the Rfam family "Bacterial small subunit ribosomal RNA", at positions 26 to 518 of the family's 1533-position model. The record is from RNAcentral.
AGGAUGAACGCUGGCGGUCUGCUUAACACAUGCAAGUCGAACGGAGUACCUCGGUACUUAGUGGCGGACGGGUGAGUAACGCGUGAGAAUCUGCCCUUAGGUCGGGGACAACCAUUGGAAACGAUGGCUAAAUACCGGAUAAGCCGAGAGGUAAAAGAUUAAUUGCCUAGGGAGGAGCUCGCGUCUGAUUAGCUAGUUGGUGAGGUAAAGGCUCACCAAGGCAUCGAUCAGUAGCUGGUCUGAGAGGAUGAUCAGCCACACUGGGACUGAGACACGGCCCAGACUCCUACGGGAGGCAGCAGUGGGGAAUUUUCCGCAAUGGGCGAAAGCCUGACGGAGCAAGACCGCGUGAGGGAGGAAGGCUCUUGGGUUGUAAACCUCUUUCUUGGGGAAGAACAAAAUGACGGUACCCAAGGAAUCAGCAUCGGCUAACUCCGUGCCAGCAGCCGC